This 483-nucleotide ribosomal RNA is filed under the name uncultured bacterium. RNAcentral's name for it is "partial 16S ribosomal RNA". It matches the Rfam family "Bacterial small subunit ribosomal RNA", at positions 30 to 507 of the family's 1533-position model. The record is from RNAcentral.
UUGAACGCUGGCGGCAUGCUUUACACCUGCAGGUCGAACGGCAGCACGGGCUUCGGCCUGGUGGCGAGUGGCGAACGGGUGAGUAAUAUAUCGGAACGUACCCAGAAGUGGGGGAUAACGUAGCGAAAGUUACGCUAAUACCGCAUACGAUCUAUGGAUGAAAGCAGGGGACCGCAAGGCCUUGUGCUCCUGGAGCGGCCGAUAUCUGAUUAGCUAGUUGGUGAGGUAAAGGCUCACCAAGGCGACGAUCAGUAGCUGGUCUGAGAGGACGACCAGCCACACUGGAACUGAGACACGGUCCAGACUCCUACGGGAGGCAGCAGUGGGGAAUUUUGGACAAUGGGCGCAAGCCUGAUCCAGCAAUGCCGCGUGAGUGAAGAAGGCCUUCGGGUUGUAAAGCUCUUUUGUCAGGGAAGAAACGGUAGAGGCUAAUAUCCUUUGCUAAUGACGGUACCUGAAGAAUAAGCACCGGCUAACUACGUG